Colossoma macropomum (tambaqui) is the source of this 610-nucleotide long non-coding RNA. RefSeq lists it as uncharacterized. The record is from RefSeq and is a predicted model, not a curated record. Lineage: Eukaryota; Metazoa; Chordata; Actinopteri; Characiformes; Serrasalmidae. The transcript is spliced from 2 exons.
GUUGAUGAUGUCAUCAGUAUGAGUCUCGUUUGUGCAGUUAUCAAUGGAAGCAUGGCUAUCUUCUUUAAACAUCUACAUUUUGGCUUUAGAUGGUAUUGUCGUUUUACCCUACUCCAAGUGCCUUCAGUAAACAGAGAUAUACUGGAAUCUCUUGUUGGUGUGGUUAUUGGAGAGGAGUUUAGCUGCCUGUCAAGCUAAGCAAGGUGCUUCAUUUGAGGACAGGACAACAGGGCUAAAGUGGACUCACAGUUUAACACCACCAAUGCGAGAAGCCUGUGGGAGGAGUUAAACACAAUAACAGACUUUGAGAGGGAAACUAGUUCUGUGAAUAACAUCAGCGCUGCGCUUCCAGACGAGCUGAAAACUUUCUACGCCUGUUUCGAGGCAAAUCACACCACGCUCACGGAAAGAGUCCCCACCCCCUCUACCGCCGAUUCAAAUGCUUUGAGAAGCUGGUCAGAGACUUUAUCUAAUCCUUACUACACCUGGUACAAAAUGUGUUGCAAGUGCAAGUGGUUCAAAGACCUAUAUUUUUCCUCAUAAUGCCACUUUUCUUAAAGAUUCUUGAUAUCAAUAAAGUGCCAGUGCAAAACUGUAUUACUGAGCAAUA